AAGUCGUAACAAGGUUUCCGUAGGUGAACCUGCGGAAGGAUCAUUAAUGAGUUAGGGGGCCUAGCCCCCAGCGGUGGGUGUCUGUUCAAGUCCGUCAGGGCUUGGACAGCGCUUGUCGUGUAUCUCAACCCCAUGUUUACCAUACCUUUGUUGCUUUGGCGGGCCUUGAGUAGGCUAUACGGCUCAUGCCGGCCCCCAGCGUCUUCUUGCUGGGGGGCGGCUCGCGCCCGCCGGAGGUUCAAUCAAAUUCAGUUUAUUAGAAGUCCGAGUAAAAAUUAAAUAAUCAAAACUUUCAACAACGGAUCUCUUGGUUCUGGCAUCGAUGAAGAACGCAGCGAAAUGCGAUAAGUAAUGUGAAUUGCAGAAUUCAGUGAAUCAUCGAAUCUUUGAACGCACAUUGCGCCCCUCGGUAUUCCGGGGGGCAUGCCUGUUCGAGCGUCAUUACACCCCUCAAGCGUAGCUUGGUAUUGGACGUUCGCGGGCCCUCUUUGGGGGGGCCUGCGCGCCCGAAAAGCAGUGGCGGUCCCCGGGGAUUUCGCGCGUAGUAACUAUUCUCCCGCGUUGGAACGAACCGAUGGGCCCUGCCAACACCCCCCAUAAAUCUCCAUGAUUGACCUCGGAUCAGGUAGGGAUACCCGCUGAACUUAAGCAUAUCAAUAAGCGGAGGAAAAGAAACCAACAGGGAUUGCCUCAGUAACGGCGAG
Molecule: small RNA, 704 nt
Filed under: Cladonia vulcani
Lineage: Eukaryota; Fungi; Ascomycota; Lecanoromycetes; Lecanorales; Cladoniaceae
Description: eukaryotic LSU rRNA
Rfam family: 5.8S ribosomal RNA (bases 288-441)
Source: RNAcentral